This is a long non-coding RNA of Oncorhynchus tshawytscha (Chinook salmon), 2618 nucleotides long. The record is from Ensembl. Lineage: Eukaryota; Metazoa; Chordata; Actinopteri; Salmoniformes; Salmonidae.
UAACCACACAGUUUACGUCGCUGGAACCUUGAGAACCAACAGACUAGCUGGAACUGGUUCCUUUCUUUGACGUCUUAUUGUCGGGGCAGAUUUGAUUUCUCUUCCAGGUGUAGGCUUAGCCCCUAGCUCUGUGUCCUAUCCUUAUGACAGUAUACUACAGCCAUAAGAGGUUAGAGUUCAUAUUUAACUGACCUGUGGCUUUUUUUGUAAAGUGUACAUGAGUUUAACUUGCCUGGGGUACUGAACCAAAGUCGUUAGAUCAAUCCUCUUUACAUUGUGUGCUGGAUAUACAUUUUAAUUUGUGUACAGUAUAACUGUAAGUCACCGUGGCGCACAUACAUACAAUGGCUUUAGUUUGAGAUGUGUUACUUUUAUAUCACACAAGGGAGUCUGUGCCCAGGAAUAAUAGAACAGAGAAGUAUCAGCACAAGGAUCCAAUUAGGGGUAAUGGAAAAAGCAAAAAUACAAGAAAGUGACUGUCAAAAACAUUUAUGUGGUGAGUUCAUUUGACACAUCAAUAGUCCAGAGUUCGAGAAAAAAUAGGAAUCUGAGGUUAAACGCUAAGCCAGUAGAAAGGCCUGAUGGGAAGUGGUGGUUGCUAUGGCGGCAAUUUUCAGAAGGCCACCGAGAGAGAGCCUGGUUGUUUGCAGUAGGGAAGCAGAGUAUUGAGGACUGUUGAGAGGGGUUGCUCGGUAGGAGUAAGACCUGGGUUCAAAUACUAUUUGAAAUCUUUUAAAUAAUUCUAACGUUUGCUUUAGAAUGCCUGCAGGGCCAGAUGGGCGGCAUUUGCAGUUUUUCAACUAUUGCAUUGCGCCAGGCAAACUCAAUCAAGCCCAGCUAAAGUAUUUGAAAUAGUAUUUCAACCCAGGUCUGGCAAGAGUGAGUGAGUGAGUGAGUGAGUGAGUGAGUGAGUGAGUGAGUGAGUGAGUGAGUGAGUGAGUGAGUGAGUGAGUGAGUGAGUGAUAGAAAGCAUUUGGUUGGUCUGGGUAGGAACUGAGGAUGGCAGAGUGGUAGUGUGGCAUUCCUCAUGUAAAUGGGACUAAAAGAAUAGCAUGUUGGCAUGGAGCAGGUUGGUAGUAACAGUGACGGUGGGCAGGAGUUACAGGAGCACUGCAUGAAUGCACACCUAACUCUGAUACAAGUUGUUGUAUUGUUGUAGUGGUUUUGUAUAGAUAAAUGGAAGUUAUUUAGUCAUUUCUGCCCUGAGGGUUGUGUAGCACCUCUCCACAUAGAGAGAGAUGUGAACGGAACAGAAAUGCUACUGCGUACACCUGGAAGGGCUUACUAUGAAAUGGUCUUCAUUUGUUGACACUGUAUCCAUUUUGUCUUCGGAAUCAUGUGUUCACAGAUAGCAUACCACCAGAAAGGGAUACCUAAUAGUAAGAGAACUGAUUGGGCUAUUGCUUCUAUGUGUUUGCUGCUUAAUUUAAUAUCAGUUGUAUUUCUCGUAGCCAAUGAUAUAUGAUUACUAUGUUUGUUGUAGUGUCCUCAUGAAGUAGGCACAUCAUAAAUACUUGUGGUUUUAGUGAGAGCCUUCCCCCUUAUCCCUUCAUGUCAUGCCAUAGUACUUGCAUUUUAAGUGAUUAUUUUAUUUCUACGUUAUUAUUGAACUUUUUAAUUGUAUGUAGGUACAGUAUAAACUGUAUUGUGUUAUUUUACAGAUUGUUGCAAUAAUUAUUGUGGAUGUUUUUAUCAGUGAUUUGUUAUUAGGCUCAUUUCUAAGUUGAUUUGUAACUGGGAGUUGCUGUACAGCGAUGUUAUGUAUUCAUAAGGAGGGGUGUAUGCCUGUGUAAAGUGUUCAGGCACCGUUGACAAUAAUAAAGUUAUAAAGUAGACAAUAAUCCAUUUGGGCCCUUAUGGGUAGGUAGCUUAGACUUGAGUGUGUCAGACCAAGGUUUGCUCCCUAAACUAAACCUAAAACAACAACAUUUUGGUACUUCACCAAUAGGCCACCACACUCCCUCUAGCUGGCUCCACCAUGCAAGCCUUGGGUUCCAGGCAGUCAAAGAUGUGAUGCGUAGCAUGUAUAGGUUGCUGGUUACAUCAUUUUCUUUCUGUUCUGUGGUGUAUCUUUGUUGGUACUUUUUUGUUGAUUUCCAUAAGGCCUGUGGGCCUAAGAACACAGAUACGGGAGCUGCUUUUCCACAUGAGUGGUUGGCCCCUCCAUAAAGAGGCAGACUACUGAAACAUUCCACCAUAGGGAGAAUCUGGCAUCCAUACUGCACACCCUACAGUCUCCAUAGCUCUCUGAUCUGAUGAUCUGAUGACAUUUUUGGACCUUUCUUUCUUUCUUUCUUCCCACCAAAGAAAUUCAACAUGUUGACGAUGUACAGUACAAACACAAAUAAUCCCCAUGUGGUCUGGCAAUAACUUCUGGUCCAAACAAGUACCUUUACAGCACAUUGAGUGUGCUUUGAGGGCUAUUGAUGGGUUUUAAGCAAAUGUUAGUGUGUGAAGUGUACAGAUACUACAGUAGAACGCCAGUAUGGGCACAACACACACAUACAUGAAUGAUUCAAGUUGCCAUAAUAUCUUAAGCUAUUUGACUGCCAAUUGCAGUCCACCAUUCUCAAACAUCUAUGAUUUGAAGAAAAUAUGUUUUAGAUCUGUCACUCGUU